This 899-nucleotide long non-coding RNA is filed under the name Rattus norvegicus (Norway rat). Its description in RNAcentral is "long non-coding RNA NONRATT001459". Lineage: Eukaryota; Metazoa; Chordata; Mammalia; Rodentia; Muridae. The record is from RNAcentral.
UGGCAAGCAGCUUCCGGCAGGAGGGGAUAGGAGUCUUUUUCAAGGGCAUGACACUCAAUAGUGCCCGUGCCUUUCCUGUCAAUGCUGCCACCUUCCUCAGCUAUGAAUACCUACUGCGCUUGUGGAGAUGAGCCUGGCCCAGUGACACUGGCAGCUCUACAGCAGAAUUAUGGCUGACAGCAGCUUGGAAAACCAAGCUAAAGCACCCAGCUUUUAGGUGCAAAAGCAAGAGGUGCCUUGUUAAGGAGCCAAUGUGCAAGAAACCAAAGAACCUGGCCCUGUACAGACUCUAAGACACACACACCCUCCAGCCCACCUCACCAGGCCACUUCCGUCCAGGAAGCAGGGGCACAAAGUACAUGAAAAUCAUCCAAGCCACCAUGCCAUAACUGUCCCUGUGAAGGAGCUCUCAGAGAGCAGCCACUGUCCUGGCUUUACCUAGCCCUGGAGUUCAAAACACUCCCUGGAUAGGAGAAUGGUUUUUGUCUUCUUUAUGUCCAGAAACCUUCAGGGAAACCCAGGUCCAGGCUCCUGGCUGUCCUGCCUGACUGGGUGGCCUUCUCUUGGUUACUUCCUGGUGUGGUCCCUCAUGUCCCAGGAGUGCGGUGGGUGGUGUUAUUGUCCUCCAGUGGCCCACUCUCCUCAAGAUCCAGGCAGAGCUCUUUAUCUGGGGGUCCUUCCAGCCCCAUCUGUGCUGACUGUGGGGUACCCAAGCACCCCAGCCCUCCUGCCUACCUCAGUCAAACCUCUGUGUACAGUACUUCGUGGUUAGUUUUUUGCUCCUCUGAGUUGUUAGUCUGUGAGAGUCUUAUGGUCAAGGUCAUACUUCUGUCUCUUGAACAGAUACAUGCAAUAAAGUUUCAUUUGAUGCAGUAUUGAUGAUCCCUUUCUGUCUCUGC